RNAcentral lists this ribosomal RNA (591 nucleotides) under Triticum aestivum (bread wheat). RNAcentral describes it as "partial small subunit ribosomal RNA". Lineage: Eukaryota; Viridiplantae; Streptophyta; Magnoliopsida; Poales; Poaceae. The record is from RNAcentral.
AUGACUCGUGUUCUACACAGAAAAAAUCCAUGUAGCAAGAGGCUAGAACUCACUCUGCAAUCUUUGGCAAGCCACACAGAACUCACAGAAGCAAUGAAAGGGAACCUCUGCCAUGAGUUCGAGACAGGCCUCCCCGCGGCCGAUGUAUGGGAGAUCUAUGGAGGCCUCCGUAUUGGCCAGUUGGUGCCUGAAUUGCUUCCAGAUAUGCUCAAAAAGGUCGAGCUUGUUGAUGGAGAUGGCGGCGUCGGAACAGUUUUGCAUCUCACCUACUCUCCUGGAAUUCCUGGAUUCGAAUAUCAAAAAGAGAAGUUCAUCAAGAUUGACAAUGAAAACUAUGUCAAAGAGGCACUAGUAGUAGAAGGAGGCGUUCUAGAUCAUGGAUUUCAGAAAUGUUUGGUACGGUUUGAGAUUAUAGGGCAAACAAAUGAGACAUCUGCAAUAAGAUCAACCAUUGAAUAUGAAAUUGAUGACGACAAGACAGAUAACGCAUCCUUCGUCAGUACCAGUGGUGUAGCUCAUAUUGCUGAGGCCAUCACAAACUAUAUCAAGGCACAGAAAAGCGCUGAGCAAGCUCGUGAAGAAACGUUGUAA